Oxyura jamaicensis (ruddy duck) is the source of this 5006-nucleotide RNA transcript. RefSeq lists it as uncharacterized. The transcript has 4 exons. NCBI's taxonomy places the organism in Eukaryota, Metazoa, Chordata, Aves, Anseriformes, Anatidae. The record is from RefSeq and is a predicted model, not a curated record.
GUCCCACGUCCCCUGGGCUGCGGCUUCAUCGCAGGAGGUAUCUCUGUGCCCCCUCCCCGAGCCCUGCGCCUCCAGCCUGCUGCCCCCAGGCCGUCCCGACUCCCUGCGUCCUGGGGGCUGCGUAGCUCCAGGUGGGAUUUUAAACCCGUUCUCUGCUUCCUGCAAGGCAGGGGCUUUGCAGAGAGCCUGGCUGCCGGCCGACGGCUGUCCCCUGCCUCUGUGGGUGCAGCACCCACGCUCUCUGCAGCGCAGGAGGCUGCCGUGGGGUGAUGGCCCGUGAAGGGCAGGGUGGCUGGAGGCAGAGGAAGGGGAGGUAUUCAGCAUGCAGCAGGUGCCGAGGCGAUGCUCGCCGCGACAAAUCCCUGUGAUUCAGCCCCAAAGCAUCUGCCAUCGCCGGGGACUGAACGUUAACAAGCGGCCGAGGGGGCUGCUGUCACGCAGCCGCCUCUGCCGAGGCGCCUUGGGGCCCCCAGGAAUGGGAGCUCCCCUGCACGGAUUCGCUCCGGCAUGCUUGGGAAGGACGGCGCUCCCCAGCUCCGCUCUGCCUGCGAGACCUCCACAAGUCCCUGCCGGCCUCAAUCUUUCUGCUUCCCUGUUGCUGAUGACAACGCAGGGCUGCGAAGGUGGGUGUUACAUUCAGAGCUCUGUUGGCCUCCGGGUCUCCUUGCUCGCUGGCAGCACGCGUCCCUUGAGCCGUGCUGUGCGAGCCCUCCGGGUGCUCCCACGUGUGCCAGCAGGGAUCUGGCAGCAUCCUGCAGCCCGGCGUUGGGGACUGUGCGAGGUGUGGGUCUGCAGGCUACAGGUGCAGGGCUGUUUUUUCAGCCACGCCACUUAGGUACAGCACCCUUGGGUAGAAGCAACCAGAGCUCACUUACCUCCUAUUGACUUCACUUUAAGAGCUGCCAGCCCCGAUCAUCUGUGAAAGCCUUCCAGCCCCGUGUCCUGGCUGCAGCUAAUAUGCUACAGAGGAAGAACAAACCACCCUGGCACCAAUUCCUCUGCUUUCCACCCAGAACUGGCUGGAACGCAGGGCUCAAACACUUCCCCAGAUACCUUAGCAGUGCCGGUUAUAAUUUCUCCCCCCUGGGUAAAACAUCCAGUCCAUUUGACCUCACAAUUCUGGACAAGAUCUUCCCUUUUAGCUAUCUGAAUUUGGCCUUUUUGGGUGUCUCGCCUGUCUCCGCACUUUUAGGAUCAGACCAGAAGCUCCCACCUUUCCUUUGUGGUGUCUCCAGCAGUGGAUGCUCUCUCCGUGGAAAGUGGGGUUGGAGAAUGGAGUAGGAUGGAGCCUUUUAAAUGGGCUUGGUAAUGGAUUUCCCUUUAACUGAUCACGUUUCCUAGCCAUGUCUGCUGUUGCCCCAGCCACAGAUAAUAACCCCCUGGAGGCUACACAAGGCACUGAAAUCUCCGGGGGAGGUGUGGAAGAUGGAAGCAGAAGAGUCCUUUAGCAGCUCAGCGAUAUCCUCAUCUCCCAUAAUUGCUCUCUUUAACCCCUGACGGUCUCACGGCCCCCUGUUCUCCUCCUGGCUUUUCGACGUGCUCAGCCCUGUUGUUUGUUUUUAUACUUUUACUUAUUUGCUCUUCAGAACCCCUUUAUGCUCCUGUAAUUAACCUCACACUGGUUUUUAGCGUUUGCCUCCGCUUAGUGUCACACGCCGCUGCUUGGUCCUGACUUCCCUGCGCAAAGCUGAAUUGAGCAGCGCCGGGGCUGCUGUUACUCAGCGUCUCAGCUAUUGCUUUGUGAAUUCUCUCCCGUGUGCCACUUAAAACUAAGUCAAGAAUGGCCUUCCCACUUCUUCCUGCUCCUCUCCUUGCUCCAAGCAUGGAGCAGCGUGCUGAGCGUGGAGGUACUUUCUCUCUAAACUGUGUCCCGCUGCGCCGUGUAUUUGUAUGUGGGUGGUUCAAGUCCCUUAUUAUCAUCCGCCGUUACCGCACCUUUGCUGGAGUCUGGUGCCAUUUUGAUCUUCUUCAUCAAAGAAGCGAGCCUGCCACUUCUCUGCAGCCGCCUGGGCAGGGAGAUAGAGUCUUGCAGGGAUGUGAUUGCAUCUGGCCGUUUGACUGCUUUUCUUUGCAGCUCUCCCUGGCCGUUCUGCAGAGCUUGCAGCCAGAUGUUUUGGUAUUUCUUUGGCUUGUGUAACUCCUCUUACAUCAAGAUCAAGGGCCAGGCAGUUCACCUGUGUUUGCAUGCUGCCCGGAUGUUUGUAAUGCCUGUUCCAGACCGCUGCAGGCUUUUAUCGAAUUCAACCUGCAACCAAACUGACUUCACAGAAAUACUCGGUACAGAAAUAUCUUGUCCUUGAUUUGCUUCUGUUAAGGCUUUGGUAGUUACUCCUGAGUCACGUUGCUGUGAGUCAGAUCGCAGCUCUGCUGUGUGUCAGGAACCAGAACCUGAUGGCCUUGCCUGGGGAUUCCGCCCAGAACUUGGGUUUUGUACAUUUAGGGGCUCCUUUGAGCUGAUUUUCUUCAAGGCAGGCUUUGUUCUCAGCUGGCUGUAGCCAACCCGGAGCAGUAGAGCAGACAGGAGUGGGGAGUGCGUACCCAAGCCCGAAUGCAGCCGGGCUGUACGGUGGGUUCAGCCUGAUGUCCCCCAGCUCCUUACUGCACCGUGCUGCAGCAAGCCCUCAGCAUCCCCAUGUGGCAGGUGACUGCUGGAUCUUCCCCGUACCCAGCACCGUCCUUUGGUUCUGGAGCUUCUACACCGCACGCUUUCUUCAAAGCACAAAGCCUAAGAGCGGCCUUCGUAGUGCUAAAUUGGACAUCUGUACCAGAAACCUAGCAGAAAAACCAGAAAUGUCUCUGUUGUGCUGUGCAGAUGACAAAAUGGUUGGAGGGCAGGGCUGCUGAUUUGAUAAGAUGGAACAAAAUAAAAGCUUUAAGAGGGCCAAAUGGAGCAUCAGCUUUGAUGAACAAACGGUGGACGAGGCUGUUCUGGAGAAAGAGUGACCAGACAAGGCAGGGAGGUCACUGGAGCGCCAGAUGACCUUUAUCUGCUUCAACUAUUGAAUUUCUAAGAGCAUUAAGGGCUUACUUAGUCAUGGUACCUAAGUGUCUCAGCAAAAAACCCACUUUGUUAACAGGCCUUCCAGCCUGGAGGACAAAAGUAACCGGAGCAGGAUCCAGUGGCUGGCAGCUGGCAGAGGACAGCUGGGAUUUGGAAUAAGGUGCAGGCCGCUGGAGUGACUCCCUGAGGCAGAUUAACCCGCUCAGAUGUCCUGCGUGUUCUCCGGGGGGCGAGCAGCAGGCUGGCAGGCGACUGGGUCGGAGAGGACAUCUGGAGCAGCUGGUGGAGAUGCUUCCCGAGGGCUGCAGGAGCGCAGGGACGACCGGAGAGGGCAGGGAACACGCUCCGUGGCACCAGGAGAUGCCGAGGAGACUGAGGAGCUGACGCACAGCCAGGCCUCGGCAGCGAAGGAACGAGCCUUUCGCGGAGCUCCAGGAGGGACCCGAGUUUCUUUGAAAGCUGGCAGCCCCUCAAAGCUGCUGAAAUUGAAGUCGAAGGACAAAUUCACUCUGCAAGGACACAGUGGAAGGAGAUAUCUGCUCUGGCCUGAGAGCUGCCAUGCUGUGGUCUCUGCUGACAGAGGUCCCUGGCACAUGUCCCCAUGGGAUCUGAGGAGCUCCCCACAAGGUGGUGACACCGCUGGUGCCUCCGCGUGCUGCCAGAGGAAUCCCAUCUUCCCAACAGGUUUCUGUCGCCAUGGAAUUAGAGCAGCACAAAUGGAAUGUCAUACGAGAUGGUGUCAAAAGCUUUAUGAAAAUCCCUGUGUAUGGCACCUUCCCUGUGACAUCGAGAGGAUUCUUGAAGACGACUGCUGAAUGCUCUGGAUCUGCGGGUUCAGGAGCCCUCCAUGAUCAAGCCCAGCUAAUCUAAAAAAUAACUCAUCUAAGGACUUUCUAAUCUGUUGCCUCCUUCCGUCAUAUCGCUGAAGAUUUCACACUUCUGUCGCUGGGGCUCGCGGGAGUAGCUCCCUUUUUAGUAAAGGCAAAAAAGCAAAAGGAGCGUCGUGCUUGUGACUGUCACCUCCCAGCACCAGUUCUGCGUGGUGGAGCACUGGGCCACCUCUCACCUUCGCCCUCUGCUUACUGACAGAGCAGCUCUUGGUGCCUCCCCAUCGUCUGAGGCUGUGUCUUUUGGAGCCCAGAUCCACAGACUUUGUCCCCAGUUCCUCGUGCUUUUCUUAACCGUCCAUCCCAAAUAACCUGAAGCAUUUUUAUCUUUUCUUUUCACUUCUGCCCCAUAUUUGAAGCCAAUGCGAGGUUUGUGGUUUUGAAAAGUUGAUCUUUUAAUAAUUUUUGACCGCUUCUUCUUCAUCAGAACAGUUUGCAUUUGUUGCUGCUGUUUCUUGAAGUAGCCACAAGUUCUUUUUAGCAAUCUGCAUAGAUUUGCCUUCCCUCUGCUCAUCCUCACUGAUUUUACCAGUUUAUGAAGCAGCUGUUUUUGUCUUGUUAUCCUUCCCUUUUGGCCAGAAGCAAAUCUAGACAUCUUUAGCUUUUUUGUUUGUCUGUUUUACCUUUUGGGUAAGAACUGCUCUACCAACGCAGUCAUAAAAUUUGCCAAGCAAUCAAUGAUUUAGAGGAUCCCUGUCAAGCAAUUCUGAGGAGCUAAAAUCCCUCGCUACCACCAUGUACCAUCUUUCAGAUGCUUUUGCAAACCACUCAUUAAAAUGGCUGUUCUGUUUUCUCUUCCUAGCUAUAUGCCUCUGCUCUAGCAGCACCCAUUUUUCCUUCUUUAAUUCUUAUUCAGAGACUAUUUCCUCCUGCAGUCUUAUACUCAGUGAAUGUACCUACGCUCUUGAUAUCCUCCUUUUUCUCCUUGUUCGCCCUUCCUGAACAAGCUAUACAGUUGGAUAUUAAUAUUCCAGACAUAAGUUAUCCCAACAAGCCCCUGUUAUGCCAAUUAAAUAAGAAUUUUGCUUUGUGUGAAGAAUUCGAGCUCCUCCUGUUUGUUCUGUUUCUAAUGUUUGUGUAUACAGAUUUCUAAGACAUUAAACACGUUGUCCACUAUU